Molecule: non-coding RNA, 212 nt
Filed under: Mycolicibacterium holsaticum
Lineage: Bacteria; Bacillati; Actinomycetota; Actinomycetes; Mycobacteriales; Mycobacteriaceae
Source: RNAcentral
GCGCUGCAGUUUGGCGUCGGCAUCGAGCGACGUACCUCUGACGGGUGCGUGGCGAGAGGGAACCCGGUGAGAAUCCGGGACUGUCCCGCAGCGGUGUACAGGAACGACCGCCGUUAACAGCACUGGCCCACCGGGCUGGGAAGCGACGGCCAGUAGGGGCACUUCGGUGCGUGCCUGUGAGUCCGAAGACCUGCCGGCUGUGCCGGACGCGC